UCUUUUGACAAAGCGUGAAAAACCAUCUCCGUCUUUUGACAAAGCGUGAAAAACCUUUUCCAAACGCGCCACUCUUCUCUCUCUUUCUCGUGCCGACAAAAUGGAAGAACUUUCACAUAAUCGCUUUUCCAAACGCGCUUUUUUCUCAAAUCGAUUCUCACGGAAGUUCUCCAAUGUUACUUUUUCCCCAAAUCGUUCAAUCGCUCCAACCCUAAAAUCGUUCAAAUGCUCGAACCCUAAAAUCGUUCAACCGCUCAACCUCAAAAUCGUUCAAAUCGCUUAAACCUCAAAAUUGUUCGUCCUUAUUUCAAUCUCAACUGUUUCAACUUCAACCUAAAUCAUUUGAAUCGUAUCAAUUGCUCAAACCUUAACAAUCAUAUUUGAAUCGUUUCAACAUCAAAAUCAAGCAUUUGAAUUGCUCAAUAAUCAAAUCUUUUAUGGUCGGAGACAUCGCCAUUAUAUGCGCCUCGCCGUUGCCGUCGCCGACACAUAUCAGGCAAUUGACACAAUCAACAUGGCUACUAAUUUAAUCCAAAAGUUGGGCAUUUUUUCCAUUGGAGAGCCACAAAAGUUAUCAAAAGAUGGUUACGAAGUACUGAUGCAACCACUAUGUCCCCAAUUUAAAUAUGGGCGCUUCAUAUUAAUUUUCUCGUAUGUGGUGAAUUGAAGCAAUUUGUCAUCUACCCUACAAGACAAGUUUUUAUGGCCCUUAUUAUUGCAUAUGCAGCUUGCGGUGAAUUGGAGAAGGCAAAACAUGUACUAGGUGCAAGUAGCAAAACACAUUGAAUUUGCAUAUUGAUACUGAUGAGUAGCUAAAUGUAGACUUCCAUGUUUGUGAUCACUAUGACAACUUUUAUAUGUGUAAAUAUGCUAUGUCUUUCUACGGUGUCCCUUUUGGAGUAACUUUGUAAAGGGCAUAGCAUACCAAUAUAAUUUAUCAUAGGUGCCUUAUUGAAGUGUACAAUUGCGAAGAUUGGCUUUGAGAAGAAAUAAGUAUCUCAAGGUUUCGAAGCUCUUGCUCGUGCUCAGCGUCUUCUAAGAAGUAAACCAUCUCUUGCAAAUAUGACACUCUUAUCUCAGGGGUCAAACAAAAAUGCGAGCACUUGGAAUGGAAAUCAGUGGCCAUGCCAUGCUGGUCAAACGGUUAGUGGCAGUGCUGGAAUUAUUUGCGAUUCUAACCAUGGAGGUCCACCCCAAAAUAUUAGAGCCUGGAUCAGAUUUGUCACUUGUUGUCGGAUAAGGUAAGCAACAACAGUGGGUGUACGCCGGGGAUAUCCUCAAUGUUUUAUGCAUCAUUUUUUUAUCUUUUGUUAGUUAUCAUCUGAGGUAAUAAAGUUGCGUUGAUUAGAUUACCCAUUGAUAGCUGAAGUGAAACACGUUCAAGGUAUGAUAUUGGCAAUUUAUACUUCUUGAUUCUAAUUGCAGGAACACAAAAGCUUUUUUGUCGUUCGACAUAUUUUGCAUAGCAUCUUAGAAUCUUUGAAUAUAUAACAAUUAACAAGCUCACAGAAAAUUCAACGACAUGUAUAUGUCCGUCAAAACCUCUGUAGCACUGACAUCUUUGAAAAAAGGUUUUUAGUUUGUUUAUUAGCUUGUGUUCUAUGUGACUACUAUUAGAGAAUAAAAGUACAUAUAGGUCAGUAGAUUUGGUUAAUUUGAACAUAUAGGUCAUCACUGAUUACCUUGCUGCUGUAGCUGCUCAUUUUGUUUGUUAAUUGUUCUGUUGACUCAAUUUUGGUUGUUACCUAAGUUGGUAUCUACCCUUGAGGAUGUGCGCAAAGCAAGUGCAGAAGCAGAGCAGAGAAUAGAUGUGCAUCCUGAUAUAUGCAGGACAGUCUUGGCUUGUGGAUCAACAAACGUGAAGAAAUAUGUCUUGCCCUUAACGCAUUUGCAGUGAGGAGGGACUGGAUGAAUGCUAAAACCAAAAGCUAUGUUCAAAUUUUUGGAACAGUAUAUAUGAGUUUAGAUGGAGACACGUGAAAGUGAAAAGUAAAGAGACACAUGAAAGUUCAAAGUUGUGGAUACACUAACAUACAAUAUAAGAAAUAUAAGAAAUAGGGGGUUUUAUUUUAUGUGAAAAUUCAAAUAUAGAAAAUAGGAACAUGGAGUUGUUUGAUAUAUAAGAUGUUAAGUAUAUGAUUUUUUUUGUAA
This is a long non-coding RNA of Vicia villosa (hairy vetch), 2151 nucleotides long. RefSeq lists it as uncharacterized. The record is from RefSeq and is a predicted model, not a curated record. The transcript is spliced from 9 exons. Lineage: Eukaryota; Viridiplantae; Streptophyta; Magnoliopsida; Fabales; Fabaceae.